Molecule: small nucleolar RNA, 96 nt
Organism: Xenopus tropicalis (tropical clawed frog)
Lineage: Eukaryota; Metazoa; Chordata; Amphibia; Anura; Pipidae
Gene: SNORD14
Rfam family: Small nucleolar RNA SNORD14
About the family: U14 small nucleolar RNA (U14 snoRNA) is required for early cleavages of eukaryotic precursor rRNAs.
Source: Ensembl
UCGCUGUGAUGAAUUUGAUUCCAAAGCCAUUCGUAGUUUCCACCAGAUGUCGCAAGACUUAUGAUGGUUUAUUACCUUCCUUGGAUGUCUGAGCGA